This 492-nucleotide ribosomal RNA is filed under the name uncultured bacterium. RNAcentral describes it as "partial 16S ribosomal RNA". It matches the Rfam family "Bacterial small subunit ribosomal RNA", at positions 29 to 507 of the family's 1533-position model. The record is from RNAcentral.
AGUGAACGCUGGCGGCAGGCUUAACACAUGCAAGUCGAACGGCAGCACAGUAAGAGCUUGCUCUUACGGGUGGCGAGUGGCGGACGGGUGAGGAACACAUCGGAAUCUACUUUUUCGCGGGGGAUAACGUAGGGAAACUUCCGCUAAUACCGCAUACUACCUACGGGUGAAAGCACGGGAUCUUCGGACCUUGCGCGGUUGAAUGAGCCGAUGUCGGGUUAGCUAGUUGGCGGGGUAAAGGCCCACCAAGGCGACGAUCCGUAGCUGGUGUGACAGGAUGAUCAGGCACACUGGAACUGAGACACGGUCCAGACUCGUACGGGAGGCAGCAGUGGGGAAUGUUGGACAAUGGGCGCAAGCCUGAUCCAGCCAUGCCGCGUGGGGGAAGAAGGCCUUCGGGUUGUAAAGCCCUUUUGUUGGGAAAGAAAAGCAGCAGGUUAAUACCCCGCGGUUCUGACGGUACCGAAAGAAUAAGCACCGGCUAACUUCGUG